Molecule: long non-coding RNA, 621 nt
Organism: Canis lupus familiaris (dog)
Lineage: Eukaryota; Metazoa; Chordata; Mammalia; Carnivora; Canidae
Exons: 3
Source: RefSeq, a predicted model, not a curated record
CAUUGUUGUGGAAUGAAUAGGAGAGGUUUUAAAUCCUUGGUAAUGAGCCUGAGAAACUAAGCUAGGUGCUGUCUAGCUAGGACUGGUUGUAGAAGCAUUGCAAGAGACAAAGAACAAUGGAUAAAGGGCCAGAAGGUGUUUAGAGCGUUGAAAGGCUUCCCAGAGGUUCUGUGCUAGAGAGUAAGAUGGAGAGAGCAUCCUUGGCUGGAAGAACCAUGAUGGCAGUGGUGGGCAAAGAUGUGAAGUCAACAUCUGACUCAGACACUAAAAGAAAGGAAAUGGGAAAGGAAGAGAAAAGGGAAAGGAAGAAAGGAGCAAUACCAUGAGAAGCUUGAGGGAUCAAAGCUUGUAGCUCCUGUGACUAACUUAACCAAUGAGGAUCUUUCCUUUCAAAUCACCAUCUUCCAGUAUUCCACAGAAACACUGCAUAGUCUCUAAAAAUGAAUGCUCUAGAGCCAUACAGACCCACCCCUGUGUGUGGGUCUUAGAUCUGCCAUCGUUUGCUGUAAAUUACUUUAUGCUUCGUCCUCCUUAAACACAGGUGGAUAAUUAUCCACAUACACAACAAAAUUAUUGUGACAACUAACGAUGAUAUAUGUACAUUUUCAGGAUAGUGCUAGA